RNA transcript from Glycine soja, 2078 nucleotides. It is a transcript of the gene named E4 SUMO-protein ligase PIAL2-like, with no coding region annotated. The transcript is spliced from 8 exons. The record is from RefSeq and is a predicted model, not a curated record. Lineage: Eukaryota; Viridiplantae; Streptophyta; Magnoliopsida; Fabales; Fabaceae.
GCAGUUUUUAUUGGUGGCACAAACAGAUAACAUUGAGACAUCAGCAUGCCUCAUAAAUCCUUAGCAAGUGAAUUUUCUCCUCAAUGGAAAAGGAGUACUCAAUAGGACUAAUGUUCAAAUGGAUCCUGGACCACAGGUGCCAACUAAUGUGACUGGUAUGCUUAAAUUUGGGACAAAUCUUCUUCAAGCUGUGGGCCAGUUCAAUGGUCGUUAUGUUGUACUUGUUGCCUAUAUGAGUUUUACACCUUUGCCUGAGGAUCCAGUUCUUCAAGAUUAUCUUCAGCCUACUGUUACAUCUGUUGAUUCAGAUUCAGAUAUUAUCGAGGGGGCUUCACAGAUUUCACUUAAUUGUCCAAUAAGAUCAAGAUAACUCUGCAUCCUUGACAGAUCAACUUGAAACUCCUGAUAUAACCUCAUAGGAUACACAGAUCCGCAUGAUACUCCCUCUGGAAUCAAGGACUCAAUUCCUGCUUGGAUUAAGUUUUCUGUACAGGCUCCUGGUGAAAUUCCAUAUAGCGGAAUAUACUAUGAUCCCCCAGAAGAGGAUAAAAUAUGUCUUCAAACAUCCACAGCCAAAGAGACCAAAAUCACUUACGAAUAUGUAUGAGUCUCACAUCGGGAUCAGCAGUCAGUUGAGCAUGUUUUUCUUUCUUUAUGUGAUAUCAAUAAGUGAUUAAUUUCUUUUCCCUUUCCUUGUCUUAUUUCAAAGUCAAUGAUCUAUUACAUCAUAAAGUUUGGUCUUUUUAUUUUUUAUCAUGAAUGGCAUAACUUGUCUGAAGCCUUGCUGUGUCUCUUCCCUUUUCUUCCCUUUUACUCUUAGCCUCCCUACUAAUUCCUUGCCACUUAGACAGGUGGUUACACUUAGGGCCCAUCAUAGUGUGAGUCAUUGCUUCCAAGCUAUGACUCUUUAUUUACUGUGCACCCUAGUAAUGGGUGAGUUUUAGUCAGAUUAUUUUCCUAUGAUCUAGGAAAAGUUGUUUUCUCUCUUAAUAGCCACUGCAUUUAACUUUUGAAAACCAAGAUAUUGGCUAUCUUUAUUUGGUUGCUUUGAGGAAGCUUUAUUCAUGAUUAUGCCAGAAGAAAUCAAAUUGACUUGCACUACUAAGUAGACACCAUCCAAAACUAAAUUUGCUAUUGUUAAGAGUUAGGAAAGAGGGGAGGGAAAGUUAAGUAGCAACAGUUAGAGAAGUUACUUAAUUAGAGGGGUUAAGUAGAUACAAAUAGGGGAAGAAGGGUGGAAGGAUUCAUUCAGAGAUUUUAAACUUUUGUUAGAAAGGAGAAAUCCUUUGUGAAGGGAAAACUCUUGGAAGAGAAUUUUUUAAACCUAUCAUGAAUCAUUCGGUAAAACUUUCAGUUUCUUUGUCAAUUUCUCAUAUUUCUUUCCUGGGUUUGUAACAAUUGGUCCAAUCAUGAAUCAUUAUAAAUGCCUUUUCUAGAAAAACACUUGUUUGGCAACCUCCUCCAAUAACGAGUUUAGGCUUGCUUAAUUACGAUGGUGCCGUAGCAUCCAAUGAUCACAAAGUAGUUUGCAAUGGAAUAAUUUGAGAAUAUCUAGAUGCUCCCCUGUAGGUCUUCUCUCAUAAUAUGGCUCAUACUUUGUGAUUAUGGUGUAAUUAUGGGUCAUUUUUCUUGAUUUUUAGUUGAUUCUCUAAAGGAAGUUGCUUAAACUCAUGCUUGCUAUUCAAUUUUGAAUUAUAUAUAGUGAAUCUUGUUGCUCUAGUCAUGGUAGUGAAUUACUAUGAUAUAUUCCAAAUCUAAUCAAGUUACAGACAUAUUUGAGAAAAGAGUUUUAUUCAUAAACAAUAUGAUUCAUAUUUAAGGAAGCUCAAGUCUGGAUCCAAAUUCAAUUGCUUGCUGAUCAUUCUCAACUAUUCACUUUUGUUGCAUUUUUUAGUUUGAGUUUUUAGCUUCAUUGCAUAUAUAAAAAAUUCAUAAUUUAGAGAGCGAUCAUUGCUUUCUUAAUUAAAUAUUCUCACUAUGAUAUUUUUUCUCUCUUGAUAUGUAUUUCAUAUAUUACCUCACAUCAAUCACAAAUUUUUCCUCUCAUAUCAAAUUAAAUUACAUUUGUUUCCCCUUAC